CCCGCUGAACUUAAGCAUAUCAAUAAGCGGAGGAAAGGAAACUAACAAGGAUUCCCCUAGUAACUGCGAGUGAAGCGGGAAAAGCUCAAAUUUAAAAUCUGUCAGUCUUUGGCUGUCCGAGUUGUAAUCUAGAGAAGUGUUAUCCGCGCUGGACCGUGUACAAGUCUCCUGGAAUGGAGCGUCAUAGAGGGUGAGAAUCCCGUCUUUGACACGGACUGCCAGGGCUUUUGUGAUGCGCUCUCAAAGAGUCGAGUUGUUUGGGAAUGCAGCUCAAAAUGGGUGGUAAAUUCCAUCUAAAGCUAAAUAUUGGCGAGAGACCGAUAGCGAACAAGUACCGUGAGGGAAAGAUGAAAAGAACUUUGGAAAGAGAGUUAAACAGUACGUGAAAUUGCUGAAAGGGAAACGCUUGAAGUCAGUCGCGUCAUCCAGGGAUCAACCUUGCUUUUGCUUGGUGUACUUUCUGGUUGACGGGUCAGCAUCAAUUUUGACCAUUGGAAAAAGAUUAAGGGAAUGUGGCAUACAUAGUGAUGUGUUAUAGCCCUUGGUUGCAUACAAUGGUUGGGAUUGAGGAACUCAGCACGCCGCGAGGCCGGGUUUUUAUUAAUCACGUACGUGCUUAGGAUGUUGGCAUAAUGGCUUUAAUCGACCCGUCUUGAAACACGG
This 663-nucleotide ribosomal RNA is filed under the name uncultured fungus. RNAcentral describes it as "eukaryotic LSU rRNA". It matches the Rfam family "Eukaryotic large subunit ribosomal RNA", at positions 24 to 664 of the family's 3401-position model. Lineage: Eukaryota; Fungi. The record is from RNAcentral.